RNAcentral lists this non-coding RNA (21 nucleotides) under Caenorhabditis elegans. Lineage: Eukaryota; Metazoa; Nematoda; Chromadorea; Rhabditida; Rhabditidae. The record is from RNAcentral.
UUCAGAAGAAGAAAUUUGGAA